GUAUGUAUAUGCAUGACUUUCUUCAAAAUCAAAAUUGCCCCAAGUCAGGUUCAAUAUGGCGUGUUCCUCUUUCUUGUGUUGAUCUUCGUCGUCAUGUUCUUCACCCUACUCGACCACUUGCUCACUGCCUCCAAUCGCCAAAUGCUGCUCUUUUCCGGUGCCAACUCCCAACAUCGCCGCUAGCUAGCGGAGGCGGUCGACACAGCUGUGCGCGGCGUGAACACGUGCCCCGUCCAUACGGCGGACUACAUGUUCUACGAGGAGCCGAGGCUGGACAGCCAGUUGAGCAGGGAGAUGAAUUGCUACAAGGAGAGACAUUGCCGCAAGGUGGGAGACUCGCCACGCUGCUUGAUGUUGCGAGAAAUUGCAGAGGGAUGCGACUGUAAUUGCGGUUGGUCAGAGUUCAAAAUCCUUUUAUCUGCUAUUGGAUUCUCUCAGGUUGCAAGAAGGAAUGAGUUUGUGGUGGUUCCGCUUGGGUUCUGCAGCAACCCAAGGCUUCGGAUUUUACUAAUCGGCAAGAGUACAGUGAGUGGCAGAAAACAACCGUGAAGGUUCUCGGGGCUAGUUUGCUCUUUGCCUCCAAAACUGCGGUUUGGUUGAAUCAUUAUUGUUGAUAGGAUUUUUGAAGUUUCAGGAGCUUUUAAGGGGUUAGAGGACAUUGAACCUUUGGAUGUCAUUGAUUGAUUCCGCAUGAAAUUUUUGUUUUUUUGGAAUCUGGGUUGCUGCAUUUCUAGCUUAUUGAAUUGAUUUUGUUGCUUAAUUAGUGUAGAUGUUUAAAUUGAGUUUGUUUUUAAAGUGGUGGGAUUUUAGAUUCAUGGAAUUAUGCUUCCUUGUGAUUGUGUUAAACCCAACAGGGAUUGGGUUUAGGAGAAGGAGUUGGUCUUUCACAAUGUAACUAACCCAACUCCAAAUUUCUGAUAAGAGAUGUGCAUUGCCUUUUUGAAGAAGGAAACUUUGGGAACCAAACAAUAUACUUGCAUCUCAGUGAUUGGGGAAUUUUCUUUUUCUUUUAGAUUUGUUUGAAAUGUUAUACGACUUUUUUAUUUUCAUUUUUGGUUGUUAUGUAAUUCAAGUGUAUUUUAAAGGUUGGUUAAAUUUCUUAAAUCUUGGUUUUAGUCUAACAACAAAUUUGGUGUGCUGUUAUUGCGUAGAACUGGAUUGCAGGGAAAGAUACCGAAAUGGUUUCCCCUCUUUCUUGAUUGAUAUUAUGAUUUUGGAAGCUUUUUUAGUAACCAACAAUGUGCUUUGUGGUUUCUUUCACAAGAUGGUUUUGAGGGGAAACGACUUAUGAUUCACAUAGUUAGGUGCAGGAGACUAAGUAUGUGUUUGAGGCAAAGACUAUUCAGAGAAUGGAGCUGCUGGUGCUGUCCACCCUCAUUUCUAGAUCACAUCAUAAGAAGGCUCGGAUUGAAAACUCAUCUUCACUGGAAGUUUCUCAGGCGCUGAGAGCAUCUUCUUUUGUCUGUGCUUUUGGAUUCGGGAUUUGUUGGGCGCCUUCCUUCUAUUUUGGCCACUGCAACAAUGCUGCAUGUUAUAAACCAGAUUGAACACAGUGGUGGCUGGAAUACAAAAAUCAGCUUCUGAGUGUUCUCAAAAUUAGCAAGGAGAAAGUUGAUUUGGUUGACCUCAUUGUUAGACGUAAGAAAGGAGCUAGUUGUGAUGAGAUAAAAGCUGCUGUGAAGGAAGCAUCUAAGGGAAGUAUGAAGGGAAUCCUUGUAUAUGCAAAAGAUGAUGUUGUGUCUACUGAUUUUGUUGGUGACAAUAGAGGGGCUGUUAUCCUAAUGCAAAUGAUUUCGGAUCUAAGGUCAUUCCCUUGGUUGCAAGAGAUUUUAAUGUCCAGGUAGUUGCUCAAUGUAAAAACUACUGAAGUUAUAAUUUGAUAGCAUGACUUUGUCUGAA
Vigna unguiculata (cowpea) is the source of this 1899-nucleotide long non-coding RNA. NCBI's taxonomy places the organism in Eukaryota, Viridiplantae, Streptophyta, Magnoliopsida, Fabales, Fabaceae. The record is from RefSeq and is a predicted model, not a curated record.